GAUGAACGCUGGCGGCGUGCCUAAUACAUGCAAGUCGAGCGAACAGACGAGGAGCUUGCUCCUCUGACGUUAGCGGCGGACGGGUGAGUAACACGUGGAUAACCUACCUAUAAGACUGGGAUAACUUCGGGAAACCGGAGCUAAUACCGGAUAAUAUAUUGAACCGCAUGGUUCAAUAGUGAAAGACGGUUUUGCUGUCACUUAUAGAUGGAUCCGCGCCGCAUUAGCUAGUUGGUAAGGUAACGGCUUACCAAGGCAACGAUGCGUAGCCGACCUGAGAGGGUGAUCGGCGACACUGGAACUGAGACACGGUCCAGACUCCUACGGGAGGCAGCAGUAGGGAAUCUGCCGCAAUGGGCGAAAGCCUGACGGAGCAACGCCGCGUGAGUGAUGAAGGUCUUCGGAUCGUAAAACUCUGUUAUUAGGGAAGAACAAAUGUGUAAGUAACUAUGCACGUCUUGACGGUACCUAAUCAGAAAGCCACGGCUAACUACGUG
This 497-nucleotide ribosomal RNA is filed under the name uncultured bacterium. Its description in RNAcentral is "partial 16S ribosomal RNA". It matches the Rfam family "Bacterial small subunit ribosomal RNA", at positions 28 to 507 of the family's 1533-position model. The record is from RNAcentral.